This is a long non-coding RNA of Brassica rapa (field mustard), 5591 nucleotides long. RefSeq lists it as uncharacterized. NCBI's taxonomy places the organism in Eukaryota, Viridiplantae, Streptophyta, Magnoliopsida, Brassicales, Brassicaceae. The record is from RefSeq and is a predicted model, not a curated record.
AUACACGUGGUAUCUGGAGAAUGGUUGAUCGUAGAUAAGCAUUUUGCUAUCUUAAAACAGUAUAUAAAUUCAGAUUGAAAUGUUUUAAAAUAGAUUUCACAAAUCUAAUUUCUAUCAUUUUCUUCGGCCUAUCAUUUUUUUAUUAUUGGAUGACACGAAGGGACUUUCUUUUACUACUCUAAUUCCAAAAUAUUUGAAAUUUUGGAAAAUAAUAGCACACGCAAAAAAUAGUGAAAAAUAUGCCUGAGAAAUCUAUAUUAAUAAGAAAAGAAAUAUAUAUUAGUAAAGUUAUAUCGUGUUUGUUUUUCAGUAUGAAGAUGUAGUCUCCGGCUUGGACAAGAAGGUUACGAAUGAUGCCAUAGAGAACUGUAGAAGCACAGGCGAAGCCAAGAAAUUUUUAUAAUGGGUGCACAACAUUAAAGCCAGGAAAUUUCAUUCGACUUCAUAGAAUUAUCUUCAGUAUUUUCAUUGUCGAUAAAUAUCUUUUAAUAUUUGCAACUGAUAAAGUUAAAAUCAACUUCAAAAAUCUAUAAACCAAAAUUAAAGAUUAUUAAGUAAUAAACUAUUUUUUCAUCGUCGAGAUAAAUUUAGUUAAAACUGAAAACGUAACAUAAUUCAAACGUGCAAUCUACCAAAAACAUGAUUAAUGAAACAUAUAUAAAUUACAAACAUGUAAAACCUGCAAACCAUCAAGAAUAAAAGAGUAAAGCCACUUCUAUGAAUUUUGGACUUUUACUGAAUCAAAAACUUAGAUGCUAUUUAAAUAAUUACUAAUCGUAAACAUUAUUUAGAACGACUCAAAGCAUUAACAUAUAGAUUAUUAAAUUAGUUACCAGUUUUGUAUGGUAGACAAGAGAAUAAAACUUUGUCAAUUUGAUUUGAUGGUUUACACUUGCAUGUUUAAGAAGAAAAGCUUAAGCUAUUAAAUUUUUUGAACGAAUUGUUAGGAUUUUAACAAAAAAAAGAGAGAAUAGAAUUGGGCUUUAAAGCUAAUUUUAAUUUUUGAUGAGGUAAAUUAUUUUUAAUUUUCUUUUCAUUUGGGCUUAAUGUAAAUUUUAGUGGGUGCACUACCAUGAAUUAUAGUGGAUGCACAUUUAAAAUUCCUUAACAAUUACAUUAAUUUUUUAAAAAAAUUAUGGGUGCAUGUGCACCCCUUCCCUACUGAGUGGCUUCGCCCCUGUGUAGAAGAGUUGGCAAAAGCUAGAAUCAGCUGAAGAUGCUCAACAUCUAUAGUGCCCAGUUUGUCUAUAAUUAUUUUUAAAACGAGAUUUACACUAGAUCCAAAAUCACAAAAUAUUUCCUUAAAUUCAACUCAUGCGAUGGAAUAUGGAAGACAAACUUUUUCUGGUCAUCAAUCUUAGGCAAUAAUUUUUUUCUUGAUACACUUCAGAGUUUGGAUAGAUAUAUGUAUAAGAGAAUUAAAUAGGACCUGUAAUUAUUUUGUAAUUUAUAAUGAAAACAUAUUUUUCUGUGUACAAUAAGAAAAAAAAUCAUAUUUAAGAAAAGCGAAUUACUCCAUCUGUUUCAGAAAGAAAUGUAUUUUAAGAUUUUCACACUUAUUACAAAAAUAUAUUAAAUUUUAGUUAUCAAUACAUUAUUUUUCGUAGUUAACUAUUCUCCACAACUUUUAACUAAUAUAAUUUUAAUAAACACAAUUAUAUAUUAUAAAUUUUAUAAUUCAUAAUUAAUUUAUGCAUUGAAACUGUGAAAAGAUAUUUUUUGAAACGAAUUUUUUUUUUAAACAUGACUCUUUUGGAAACGAAGAAAAUAUUAGUUUGCAUUCAUAGUUUUCACAUCUAUACAUAAAAUUGUUUGCGAGAUUGGACAUAUGUUUUGGAGUUGGUCGCUAUUUAAAACCGAAAUUGAGAGACUGGAUUGUAAUGAUAUUCCUCAAAAUGAACAAAAGAGAAGUAUUCUCAAAAUGAAUAAAAGAGAAGUAUUCGAGUAUAUCCAUAAGUAAUAGUAUAAUACAACAAUCUAUUUUUUAAUAUAUCUGAUCACAUGUGUAGACAUCACAUCGCACAUGCCUCCCACGUUGUUAGUUGUUACAAUGUGCAAGGUUGGGAAGGUGAAUCUCUUUGGAACCUCGGAAGUUGGAUAGACGCUAAAUCAGAAAUAUCACAAAACUGCCCAUUAUUUUAUCUAAGUAUACAAUAAGAUUAUUGUAAGGUUAUCUUUACGUGGCAAACAAAAACUGACUGGAUUAAAAAAAUCUUUUUCAAUAUUCAUAAUAUAUUUACAGCAUUUAUUUUUAAUCAGAUUUUAAGUAAUUUAAUGAACUUUGUAUAUUUCUCUCUUUCUCAUUCCUCUGCCUUCUCUCUUGGUUUCCUUCGACUGAUUUCACCGUUUCACCGACUCCGGCUGCUUCCAUAGAGCCGGAGUCGAUCUUGAUUUGUAUUAUCGAUCUUUAUAGGCAGAGUGGUUUGUGUUCUUCUCCUUUCAUAUUGGAUUUUGUUUGAAAUCUUGGGUUGAUUUGAAUGAGUUUGCAUGUCGAUUUUGAGCUCUCUUUGGCUCACAUCUGGGCUCGAUCUUAAGCUAUCUUGAUCUAUCGGGAUAGUUUGUACCGGUCUGUGAGUUUGUCUUGCUCCUUGUCAUCAACUUUAAGAUUUGAUCGAGAUCUUCCCUUCCAUAUGGCUUCAGUUAUGGCGUUUCGUGGUAUCUUCUCCGUCAUCGUCUUUCCGGUUGAAGACUUAUGAAUUGAAAUUGCUCUGUCUCCUGGAUAUGAAGCUUUGUUCUCUAAUUCGUCUGGGCUAUUCAUCAUAGGAGGAGUCACAAGCUGGAGGUUUAUAGUCAUAGAUGACUUCCUCGCCUUGUCUCGUUUUCAAAGAAGCUCUAUCAAAUCUGCAUGCUAUCUUAUUAUGUGUUUUGUAAAGGUUUUUUUUAAUAUGUCACUCUUGCCUUCUAGUUCAGAUCGAUUAGCUUAGUUCUAUGUUUUGUAUCUUUGUUUAAUCCUUGUUUCCCUUGUGUGGGCUUCUAUUUCCGAGAAUCUUUGUUUGGUUCGUCGGCCUCUGUUUCCGAGAAAUUUUGGUUCGUCGGCCUCUGUUUCUACCGGAAUUCGUGGAAUCUCCGGCUUAUGUAACUGGAUUAUAAUGAAUAUAACUAGUGUUUAAAAAAAAUGAACUUCGUAUAAAAACUAUAGCUUCUAUCGUUUUACUUUGAUACUAGGUAACUUUUCCGUACUCAUGUACGUGAUAUAAAUAUUUAUAAAGUAAAUAUAUUAUAAUAAAUUAUUAAUUUGUUGUUUUUAAUUUUUAAUUAUUAUGUUAUUUAUAUUGUAAACAAAAUGCACUGCUUAUUUUAAAUAAAAUUAUAUUAUUUUAGUUAGUCAAUUAGACAUAUAAUUUUGGAUAUAUAAUAUUUUAACUGUUUGGUUAUUAUUUGGAUAUAUUAGAUGACAUUUACUUUUCCGAUUCAACUAAAAUAUUUUUGUUACACAAAUUAAAAUUUUGAUUAAUUUUGUUAUUUCAUGUAGUUUGAUUCUUGUCUUAGAUUUGUAAAUAUAUUUUAGUAAGAGUACUUAAUUGUAAUAGUUGGUUAAUAUAUUUAUGAUAUUAUUUGAGAAUUUCAUAUUUAUUUAGGAAUAUGUUGAGUCGUUCCAUAAUAUAUAUGUACAAAAUAUUUUAUAAAUAAAAUAUAUAAUUUUUAUUUAAUGUUUGACUUUGUACAAAUUUUUUGGAUUGGCCUAGUUACUCAUUUUGUGGGUAUAUUGUGUUACAUAUAUUCUAUCAAAUUCAACUAUAACUAUUUUUAAUCUUAUUCAACCAAAUUGUAUUAAUUUUAUUCAUUGUAUUAGUUUGGUUUUUCAUAUUAGAUGUGUAAAUAUAUUUUUUAUUUCUUAGUAAUUUGUAUAUGUUAAUUUGCAAAAAUAAAAUUUUAAAAAUAAAGUGAUGAUAGGUACAAAGUUGCAUAAAAACAUAACCGAUAAAUUUUAAAAGGGAAGAUUAAUUAUUUACUUUAAUAUCAAGUUUAUUUUUCUAAUCUUUCCUUUUUAUGACAUCAUAUUGGGUAUAAAAAUAAACCUAUUCCUUUGGAAGAUUGUGCAAGUAGUGUUUCAACCAGCAAUUUCACAUGUUUCUUCAUUGUUCUCAUGUUUCAACCAACAAUGUUCUCGAUGAUGAUGAUAUGUGAAGCUACUCCCUUCAAGUAGUGUCUAAACCUACAAAGUAGAGGCCUACUAAAUAAUAAUUCAUGUCAACAUUGUGGAAGAUCAGAAUCAGCAAUUUCACAUGUUUCUUCAUUGCCCUCUCUCGAUGAUGAUGAUAUGUGAAGCUACUCCCUUCAAGUAGUGUUUCAACCAACAAUGUUCUCCACCUUGAAGCGGCUCUUAGUUUUGGUUUUACACUCACUGGACUACUUUUGACUAGUGUUAUCUUUUCAUUGACAUUCUAUGGAUUUGUUGAUGAAUUUGGACAGAACGGCGAUAAAUAAAUUACUGUUUGAAAACAUAAGCUUCUCAUUUGACAAAAUCCUAGCAGCAUUUGAAAUGCCUGGGAAUGGUGGGAUGCACAACCAUUGAAGCCGACCUCUAACGUAAACCAGAAACCCCGCCCCUUGAUCCAUGUGAUAGAUGAUGAUAUUCUCUGUUUUAAGCAUCGUAGAGAGCAUCUGACAAUGUUGCAGGUUGUGGAUAGAUUUUUUUAGGGUCAUAAGAGAUUUCAGGAACAAAAGGAUCAUGUCUCGUUAACUUUGUUGCAUCCCCUCUUGCGGCAAAAGCUUUAACAGGCUAUGCAGCUUAUUGCAUGCUUUAGAGCUGGAUGUGUCAAAAAUUUGUAUAUUAUCAGAUUGUUAGAUGUUUGUUUAAAUAAUUAACUCGUUGUGUCAUCUAAUGGAGAUCUACGAAAUUAUUCGGGACAUCAAAAUCCUAUCUUUUCGCUUCGUUUUGUCUCUUUAUUUUUUAUUCCAAAAAUUUUAAAGAUUGUUGUUGAUGCCAUUGCAAAUAGUGUCAGAUGUUCUACAAAUUCACACAUGGCCUAAUUUAUUGGAUUUUUGGGAGCUUACUUUGAUGUAAUUGGUGUUGAGAAAAAAAUAUAAUAAAGUUAAAUUUUUUAUGGUGUUUCAAAAAAAGAAGUAACGAUUUGAAAGGUGAUUAUUUUUUUUUUGUUAAAGGAGGACCCUUGUUUUAUUAUUACUACUGUUGUAUGCGACCCUUGUUUUAUUGUUAUUUUGAUUUUGUAUGACGCUAAAAUAAUUAUAAGUACACCCAUGAUGCAUGUAUAAGCACGUUUUGCUAUCAAAUAAACAAAGACAGAAGGGAAGACCUUUGACAAAAAAAGAACGAAAAAAUAGACGGGAAAGGGGACUUAUUUGGUUAGUUGAAGAUGACUUCUUUAAGAAAGAGUAAAGAUAAAAACAAUGACAACCCCUACUAAAAUAAAAUUAUUUAUUCAUAUGAUUUUAUAAUCAUUGUAUCUUAUUAUUAGAAAAAAAUUUAAACCUUCAUCAUAAAAGUUUAUGUGAAACUUUAACAGAUUUAGUAAUUUAUAUUUGUUUUGAAAAAUUCAAAAUACAACAUAUACAAGAAAUCUAUAUUUUUAUAUAAUUAAUGUGAUUGUGUAAUUUAUUUUACUAAUAAAUAAUUAAAAAAAAUGAUA